Vidua macroura (Pin-tailed whydah) is the source of this 306-nucleotide long non-coding RNA. RefSeq lists it as uncharacterized. The record is from RefSeq and is a predicted model, not a curated record. The transcript has 2 exons. Lineage: Eukaryota; Metazoa; Chordata; Aves; Passeriformes; Viduidae.
CCGUGCCUGUCCCAGCACCAGGCUGCCAGGACGGGCAGCCAGAGCACAUCUCAGUGCUGCCAGGCUGUGCCCACAGACCCCGCUGCAGUGCAGCUCUGCCAGCAAUGCCAGAGCACACUGUGAGCUCCCUCCUUCCAGUCACCAGCCCCAGCGCCUGAACAAAACCAGACUCUUGAUCACGGACUUGGAGGAAUUUUGGAGCCAAAGGGGCCACGACAGCAGCACCAUGAAACAGUUUUUAAAGCCAAACACCCAAUGAGCACAGUGCUUCUGACAGAACAAACAUUUCGAACCAAGCCCAGAGAA